GUGUGCUUAGGUGCCCGAGCUACUGAGGGUCUAAGUCCGGGCAGCCGAAGAGUGUGGUAGGUAACGGUCGUCAGCGCAAGGGUCAUUUCGUCGCUGGGAAGGGACGGCCCUCGCCCGCGGUGAUGGUGCCUCAAAGAGUUGCUGAGAGCUAAAUUAAUUGAAUGUGGCUGGAAGGAUCAGUUGAAGGCACACUGUAAAGAGGUAAUUAAAGAAAAAGGACUAGAACACGUUACUGUUGAUGACUUGGUGGCUGAAAUCACUCCAAAAGGCAGAGCCCUGGUACCUGACAGUGUAAAGAAGGAGCUCCUACAAAGAAUAAGAACAUUCCUUGCUCAGCAUGCCAGCCUUUAAGAUUGAAUUAGAUUGUGUUGUUGUGGUUUUAUUUCUGAAAGUAAAACUUGCCAUAAAUUAGAAAACAAUUUCCCAAAAUAAAAUCCUUUUUUGUAUGAUGGUAUACAGUUUUCAGUAAUGAUGUAUACAUUGUAUUGAUUUUUUUCCCUAAAUGUGUUAUUUUAAUAAAUAUCUCAUGAAUGAGUUUGAA
RNAcentral lists this small RNA (541 nucleotides) under Pan troglodytes (chimpanzee). RNAcentral's name for it is "processed transcript". Lineage: Eukaryota; Metazoa; Chordata; Mammalia; Primates; Hominidae. RNAcentral also lists the same sequence under 1 other name. The record is from RNAcentral.